Molecule: ribosomal RNA, 427 nt
Filed under: Onthophagus madoqua
Lineage: Eukaryota; Metazoa; Arthropoda; Insecta; Coleoptera; Scarabaeidae
Description: partial large subunit ribosomal RNA
Source: RNAcentral
UGAUAUUAAGGUAUUAAAUAGCCGCGAUAAUUUGAUCGUGCAAAGGUAGCAUAAUAAUUUGUUUCUUAAUUAGGAACUGGAAUGAAAGGUUGGACGAAAAAAGGACUGUCUCAAUUUAAAUUUAAUUAAAAUUUUAUUUUUAAGUAAAAAAGCUUAAAUAAUUUUAAAAGACGAGAAGACCCUAUAGAGUUUUAUAUUUAUUUUUUAAUUUUUUAGUUUUAGAAUUUAAUUUUAAAAUUAAUAAGUAAGUAUUUAAUUGGGGUGAUUGAAAAAUUAAAUAAACUUUUUUUUUUAUUAUACAUUAAUAAAUGAAUAAUUGAUCCAUAAUUAUAUGAUUAAAAGAUCAAAUUACCUUAGGGAUAACAGCGUAUUUUUUUUUGAGAGUUCUUAUCAAAAAAAAAGUUUGCGACCUCGAUGGUGGAUAAAA